GGAAGACUAACAGGAUUCCCCUAGUAACUGCGAGUGAAGCGGGAAAAGCUCAAAUUUAAAAUCUGGUGGUCUUUGGCCAUCCGAGUUGUAAUUUAGAGAAGCGUCUUCCGCGCUGGACCGUGCACAAGUCUCCUGGAAUGGAGCGUCAUAGAGGGUGAGAAUCCCGUCUUUGGCACGGAUGUACCAGGGCUUUUGUGAUGCGCUCUCGAAGAGUCGAGUUGUUUGGGAAUGCAGCUCAAAAUGGGUGGUGAACUCCAUCUAAAGCUAAAUAUUGGCGAGAGACCGAUAGCGAACAAGUACCGUGAGGGAAAGAUGAAAAGCACUUUGGAAAGAGAGUGAAACAGUACGUGAAAUUGUUGAAAGGGAAACGCUUGAAGUCAGUCACGUCGACCGAGACUCAGCCUUGCCUCGGCUUGGUGUAUUUCUCGGCUGACGGGUCAGCAUCAAUUUUGCCCCUUGGAUAAUGGCGAGGGAAAUGUGACACCUUUACGGUGUGUUAUAGUCUCUCGUCGCAUGCAAGGGUCGGGAUUGAGGAACUCAGCACGCGCCCUCGGGCGUCGGGGCUUUGCCCACGAUACGUGCUUAGGAUGUUGGCGUAAUGGCUUUAAACGACCCGUCUUGAAACACGGACCAAGGAGUCUAACAUGCCUGCGAGUGUUCGGGUGGAAAACCCGUGCGCGCAAUGAAAGUGAAAGUUGGGACCUCUGUCGUGGAGGGCACCGACGCCCGGACCAGACCUUCUGUGACGGUUCUGCGGUAGAGCAUGUAUGUUAGGACCCGAAAGAUGGUGAACUAUGCCUGAAUAGGGUGAAGCCAGAGGAAACUCUGGUGGAGCUCGUAGCGAUUCUGACGUGCAAAUCGAUCGUCAAAUUUGGGUAUAGGGGCGAAAGACUAAUCGAACCAUCUAGUAGCUGGUCCUGCGUGA
RNAcentral lists this ribosomal RNA (925 nucleotides) under Russula sp. Its description in RNAcentral is "partial large subunit ribosomal RNA". It matches the Rfam family "Eukaryotic large subunit ribosomal RNA", at positions 55 to 964 of the family's 3401-position model. The record is from RNAcentral. Lineage: Eukaryota; Fungi; Basidiomycota; Agaricomycetes; Russulales; Russulaceae.